This 22-nucleotide microRNA is filed under the name Cervus elaphus (red deer). Its description in RNAcentral is "cel-miR-3431". RNAcentral also lists the same sequence under 2 other names. Lineage: Eukaryota; Metazoa; Chordata; Mammalia; Artiodactyla; Cervidae. The record is from RNAcentral.
CCUCAGUCAGCCUUGUGGAUGU